UUAACCUAAUCUAUCAAUCUCUCUGUCUCUCUCGUUAGCUCUAUCAGCCGCCUCCCCCUUACCCUCUCCAUCGCUCUCUUCUCUCAGCCCCGCUAUCUCUCUCUUUUCUCUCAACCUCGACCACAAACACCUCCCCUCCACUCGACUCUCCCGUUCUUCUCUCUCGGCAACAGUGCUCUUCCUUCCGACAGUGCCGAUAACAGAGCGGUGGUGGUGCGCGACAUGGUUGGUUGUCCAACGGGUAUUACCUGCAAUGUGGUUUAUGGUAUUUAAAUCUAUCGUCAACCCCGUAGUCCCGUUGCUUGGCAGGAGUAAGAACCACCAGGGACUGGUGGCUUUUGUCGAAAAUGGAUUGAUGAUCAGAUGGUGGUCUCAGGGAUUAGUUUGGUGGGAAAAACUCAGUCCCUGCACAGUGUACCAAAUUGAUCUUUGUGUCACCAUGGAAGGGAUUCUCACCUAAUUCUUCUAAGCCAAGCAUAAUGGAAAGUGUAAUGGAACAUGACAAACAAGUAGAUUUUCAAGUAGUCCACCUUAUUACCUUAAGUUAUGAGAAUACUAUCUACUGUUAUAACUUCUACUUUUAAAGUUUUAUCAUAUUUUUUUUGCUAGGAGAAUUUUUUGUUUGUAUUGUGAUUCUACAAUUUUUUUCUUGGUUUAGUUUGUGUGAUGUAGAACUAAGAGCGAAAGGAAUAGAACAUGGAGGAAUUUUAGAGAGAGACAUAGAACAAGAGACAAAAAAGUAGGCACUAGAGAGAGAGAGAGAGAGAGAAUCAAAAUAUUCAAAACAGAGAUAAUUUUAUAAUUCAUUGUCUUCUCUAAAAAUAUGAAGAUAGCUAAGUCUAUUUAAUUAUUUAUUGGUAGGCAACUGAGCAUAAUAAGAAACAUGCAGUUUGUUGGAUUAUUAUGCAUUCUUAUUUGGUGCUUGGCUGAGUUUUGAGUUUCUUAAGGCUUUCACUUUUUGCAUAUAGCUAGACUAGUUAGUAUGGAAAAAAUUUAUUUGAAACUGCUUCUAUAGUUGAUAACGCAUAUUAUAUUUUCUAUUUCAGUUUCAAUCACUUUAUAGGAUUUCUUUUAGUUAUGAAUUGUGUUGGCUUUUAUGCCUUGUUAUGCAUCUUAUAAAACUGAUUUUAUUAUGUAUCAUUUUCCCUUCUUGCACUUGAUCACUCUUUUUGUUUUCCUUCUUGGUCACCCUCUAUUUGGUUUAAGAAUUAACAAAGGACAGUUGUAGUGGUUUUUUGGUUUUGGGGUCUCUAAAUUUCUGCAGUAAAAAAUGGUAGUUGUAUUUUUUUUAUUGAAUCACUGAAGUAGUGUUUUAGAAUAUGCCUACUGAUCAAUCACGAUUGAUUUAGUUUCCCUUUGUUUGGUAUUAUUACGGUUGUCUUUGGGUUUUUAAGAAAUUAACAAUACAGAAGAAAAUGGUGUUGGUUUAUAUGGUUGUGAAAUAUUAUGUCUUUUUUCAUUGUCUUAACAUACCUACUCUUUUGUUAAUUUUGGUGUAUCUUCAUUAUUUUUCAGAUAUUUGAUUUUGGACUAGCAAAAUAGAUGCCAUCUUAAUGGACUCAUCAUUCAAUUGCUCUUAAUAUUUCUCAGGCUAACCAUAUCAUCAACAAGGUACUUAAAGAGAGCAUAUUUUGAUUAUUGUAGGAAGCAAUUUCAAGUGCCAAGUCUAUCAGGGGUACUCUAUAUUGGAUGGCUCUUGAAGUCAUUAUCGAGAGUGUUCAUCUUGAGUCGUUGUCUUGACCGAGAGAUUCUAAAUUUCCCAAAGGAUUGUGCAACUUGUGGAGGAGGUUGAGUUGGCACAUUCCCAGAGGUUUGCCCAGUUUUCCUAGUUGUUUUCGCCAUUUGAUCUUCUUGGAGGUCAUGAGUUCAGCUCUCAAUGAAAGCACCAAAAUGUUGACCUUCGAUUUGAUCAUUGACAUUGAGUCAAAUAAAAUGACUGAAAUUUAGAUGAAUUCAAGUCAAGAAGAUAAAUGAGACAAGGAUUUAUAGUGGUUCGGCCCCAAGUGAUGGUAAUAACCUAUGUCCACAUAGUGUUCUUAUUAAUGUAAUGGGAGCCUGCGAUCUAUAAACAAGGGUUUACUGAGUUUCACAAGCUCAGUAAUAGAUACAAAGAAUUAUGUAAGAACAAUUAUUUUCUCUCUUAGUCUCCCAAGAUCCCUCUCAUGACCCAUUUCAGUCUUAUUUAUAGGCUUAAUGAUCUACCUAUGGGCCGAUGGGGCUUGAAUACAUUUAAUACAAACAUAUUUGAAUAAUAAUGGAAAUUACACUUUUUAUAUAAA
Molecule: long non-coding RNA, 2279 nt
Organism: Humulus lupulus (European hop)
Lineage: Eukaryota; Viridiplantae; Streptophyta; Magnoliopsida; Rosales; Cannabaceae
Exons: 3
Source: RefSeq, a predicted model, not a curated record